CCUUUUUUUUUUUUUUCUUCAAGAAAAAACAAGCUUCUUCCUUUUUGGUUGGUUUUUGCCUCUUAGAAUUUGGAAGAGAUGCCUAUUUGUGGGACAGGAGAACCUUUUCGCUGUUAUACUGUAUUCCUGUAUUCUCUAAUGAACACUCGUUACUUCUUUCUGCAGCAUGUGAAUGAAGUUUGGAUUACAAAGAGAGUUCUGGAUAUUUGGGGCCUUUUGCUUCAGCUGAUAAGGGGGGAAAGUUGAAGACUGACCUACCGCUUCAUUUGAAAGGGGAGAAAUAUCAAACACUGACCUGGAAUUGUUUGUCCAAGUACUUCCUCCUGAAAACUCUUCUGAAACAAUUAAUAGACAACUGAGAAGUGAAUUUGAAGUUUGAAGACUUGAGCUUUCUCAAGAAAAGAAGUGCAGAACGGCUCACCCUUGGACACUUUUGUGCACAUGACAUGGAUACAUGGCUAAAUCUAUCAAGUUCUGAAUACUUCUGCUGUCAAAGUCAAGUGCUUUUUUGCCUUUAGUUAGUUUUCUCUUCCAAGUCAAGUUCUGUUUGAGUCAUAGGCAUAGCUAGUUUUGUUAACUGCCUCCAGGUUAAAAGCAGCCUGAGUCACUGAGACGUGGUUGAGAAGUUUCAUGGCAGAUAUUUUUACUCUUACUUUAUUUCUUAGAUUUUCUGACAUAGCCUUUUCUCAUUUUACAAUGAAACCUGUUUUCUAAAUGAAGAGUCUAAUAGAAAAUUGUUUAUCAUUCUUUCUUUUAUAUUUUAUUUAAUAUUUUUGUUGAAAAAUGUUGCUACCAGUAAGCAACAUGGUGGUAUCCAGAUAGCUGUUGUUUACAGAUGCCUCUGUUAUCUGAAGCUAGGCAAUGUUCCUCAGUUCAGAUGUGAAAUUUGGAUUUUCAGCUUUACUAUUUGUGGCGUAAAAAGUAUAUUUAUUUCACCUGGAGUUGAUGCUUCUUAUAGUGAUAUUUACAUGGAAUAAAGAAGAGAAGAAACUUUGAGAGAAGAAAGAA
RNAcentral lists this long non-coding RNA (1008 nucleotides) under Struthio camelus australis. RNAcentral describes it as "lncRNA (ENSSCUG00000011960.1)". Lineage: Eukaryota; Metazoa; Chordata; Aves; Struthioniformes; Struthionidae. The record is from RNAcentral.